UAGGUUAACGAGGCGAACCGGGGGAACUGAAACAUCUAAGUACCCCGAGGAAAAGAAAUCAACCGAGAUUCCCCCAGUAGCGGCGAGCGAACGGGGAGCAGCCCAGAGUCUGAAUCAGCUUGUGUGUUAGUGGAACGGUCUGGAAAGUCCGACGGUACAGGGUGAUAGUCCCGUACACCAAAAUGCACAGGCUGUGAACUCGAAGAGUAGGGCGGGACACGUGGUAUCCUGUCUGAAUAUGGGGGGACCAUCCUCCAAGGCUAAAUACUCCUGACUGACCGAUAGUGAACCAGUACCGUGAGGGAAAGGCGAAAAGAACCCCGGCGAGGGGAGUGAAAAAGAACCUGAAACCGUGUACGUACAAGCAGUGGGAGCACCCUUUAGGGUGUGACUGCGUACCUUUUGUAUAAUGGGUCAGCGACUUAUAUUCUGUAGCAAGGUUAACCGUAUAGGGGAGCCGCAGGGAAACCGAGUCUUAACUGGGCGUUAAGUUGCAGGGUAUAGACCCGAAACCCGGUGAUCUAGCCAUGGGCAGGUUGAAGGUUGGGUAACACUAACUGGAGGACCGAACCGACUAAUGUUGAAAAAUUAGCGGAUGACUUGUGGCUGGGGGUGAAAGGCCAAUCAAACCGGGAGAUAGCUGGUUCUCCCCGAAAGCUAUUUAGGUAGCGCCUCGUGAACUCAUCUUCGGGGGUAGAGCACUGUUUCGGCUAGGGGGUCAUCCCGACUUACCAACCCGAUGCAAACUACGAAUACCGAAGAAUGUUAUCACGGGAGACACACGGCGGGUGCUAACGUCCGUCGUGAAGAGGGAAACAACCCAGACCGCCAGCUAAGGUCCCAAAGUCACAGUUAAGUGGGAAACGAUGUGGGAAGGCACAGACAGCCAGGAUGUUGGCUUAGAAGCAGCCAUCAUUUAAAGAAAGCGUAAUAGCUCACUGGUCGAGUCGGCCUGCGCGGAAGAUGUAACGGGGCUAAACUGUGCAC
RNAcentral lists this ribosomal RNA (987 nucleotides) under Klebsiella aerogenes. RNAcentral describes it as "partial 23S ribosomal RNA". It matches the Rfam family "Bacterial large subunit ribosomal RNA", at positions 167 to 1194 of the family's 2925-position model. Lineage: Bacteria; Pseudomonadati; Pseudomonadota; Gammaproteobacteria; Enterobacterales; Enterobacteriaceae. The record is from RNAcentral.